GGAUGUCGCCUAGAGCCCCCCGGCCGGCCCACAAACUCCCGUCCCCCUUCUGGCUCUGCCUGGACGUCCCUGCGGGCCCCGGGGGAAAGCACCCAACUUCUCCCGCCUCGGCUUCUAGCAGAAACGUGACGGGGCUGGACUUUGAUCGCCGAGGGCUCUCUGCUCUUCAGAGUCUGCUUGGAACGGGAUAAGUGGAACCAAAAUUACAAGGGCCAUGGAUUGUCAAAGGGAAAAGAGCGAGAGCAGAGAGCAUCGAUCCGGUUCAAGACCACCCUCAUGAACACACUCAUGGACGUCCUUCGCCACAGGCCAGGAUGGGUGGAAGUGAAGGACGAAGGGGAGUGGGAUUUCUACUGGUGUGACGUCAGCUGGCUCCGGGAGAACUUCGACCACACCUACAUGGAUGAACAUGUGCGGAUCAGUCACUUCCGGAACCACUAUGAGCUGACCCGGAAGAACUACAUGGUGAAGAACCUGAAGCGGUUCCGGAAGCAGCUGGAGCGUGAGGCAGGAAAGCUGGAGGCAGCCAAGUGCGACUUCUUCCCCAAAACCUUUGAGAUGCCUUGCGAGUACCACCUGUUUGUAGAGGAGUUUCGCAAAAACCCAGGAAUCACCUGGAUCAUGAAGCCUGUAGCCCGGUCUCAAGGGAAAGGCAUCUUCCUCUUCCGUAGGCUGAAGGACAUCAUGGACUGGAGGAAGGACACAAGAAGCUCUGACGACCAGAAAGAUGAUAUUCCUGUGGAGAACUAUGUGGCUCAGCGUUACAUUGAAAAUCCCUACCUGAUAGGAGGCCGCAAGUUUGACCUGCGUGUCUAUGUGCUGGUGAUGUCGUACAUCCCGCUGCGGGCCUGGCUCUACCGGGAUGGCUUUGCCCGAUUCUCCAACACCCGCUUCACACUGAACAGCAUUGAUGACCAGUAUGUUCACCUCACCAACGUGGCUGUGCAAAAAACAUCUCCCGACUACCACCCAAAGAAGGGCUGCAAGUGGAUGCUGCAGCGCUUCCGGCAGUACCUGGCGUCCAAACACGGGCCCGAGGCAGUGGAGACACUCUUCAGGGACAUCGACAACAUCUUUGUCAAAAGCCUGCAGAGUGUGCAGAAGGUGAUCAUCAGUGACAAGCACUGCUUCGAGCUGUACGGCUACGACAUCCUCAUCGACCAGGACCUCAAGCCGUGGCUCCUGGAGGUCAAUGCGUCCCCAUCACUGACAGCCAGCAGCCAGGAAGACUAUGAGCUCAAGACCUGCCUCCUGGAAGACACCCUGCAUGUUGUGGACAUGGAAGCGAGAAGUUUGAGGGCUGAUUCUCCUUGCUGGUAACUGGGACACAUUCCCAUUCCUAAACCACUCACUGUGACUCUGCUUGACCAGGCUCACGGGAAGGGAGAAGCGAGUCGGGGGCUUUGACCUCAUGUGGAAUGAUGGCCCUGUUAGCAGAGAGGAGGGGGCUCCUGACCUGUCGGGAAUGGGAAACUUUGUGACCAACACACACCUCGGCUGUGUCAACGAUCGGAAGAAACAACUGAGGCAGCUCUUCUGCUCCCUUCAAGUUCAGAAGAAAGCUUCCAGUUGAUCCCCAGCUGCCAGGAGGAAAUCAGCCUUAGCAGGCCUUGUGUUUGAGAUUGGGAGCUGAGCCAGAAACCGGAAAACCCUGGGCUCAUGGGCAGGACAGCUUCGGGAGUUGAGUGUCAAGCCCGAAGGGAAGACUUUUGGAAGGAAAAUACUGGCAAAUCCAAGAAGUGAACCAGCCGACUUUAGGAAAGCCAGAAGCCAGGCUACUCUAGACCUUCUGCCUUCAGAGCAUGAGGACUUCUCCCACUCAUCCCUGUACCUGAGGCACGCCAACCCAGACAGGUCCAGG
This 1861-nucleotide small RNA is filed under the name Pan troglodytes (chimpanzee). Its description in RNAcentral is "processed transcript". Lineage: Eukaryota; Metazoa; Chordata; Mammalia; Primates; Hominidae. The record is from RNAcentral.